AGACUGUGUGAAGGACUCAGCUUUCUAGCAGGUUGUUAUGUGCUUGAGUUAAUGCACCAAACAGAAGGGCAAGCUUCGCUAGGCUCCGCUAUGAGGACUGUCCUCUUAAGGCCUCAUGGAUCAGAGACCUUCUAAGGGUGUAUGUCUAGAAGUGGAAUUCCUGGGUUGUAAGGAAUAUAAGUGCAAGGUUCAGAGCUUACCUAUCCAGGCUACCUGAAAUGGCUGAGAAAUAUCAAGUAUCCAGCAAACCUGUUGACAAGUUACAACUCCUAGACGUUAAACUCCAUUUGUCACUGCUGGAUCCCCAAUGCCCAGAAGAGGAGGUAGGCUCAAGCAGGUUCUGAAGACACAACUGGAUUGCAUGAGCAGAUACACAAAUCUUCAGCAUCAUGUGGGACAACUUCCUCUGAAAAUAACCUAAAAACUGAGCAACUUCUACACAUCAGGCAUACAAGAGAAGGCCCACAGUGAGGCUCAUUGAAUGAGAAGGUGGCAUUUUCUUCUCUUCAUCACACAAGCUUGAAAACCACCAGGCUGCAUGGUCCCCAAAGCUUCUCCUUCAUCCUGCCCCUAACAGCAUGCUUCUCACAAGGACAGUAUGUCUGGGUCAAUAUCUGGUUGCAACUCCUCCGGGUGCCUCUGGUUCACGGUCUCUCUUGAAGUCUCAGUCAAACUCUUCACUGUGGCUGCAGUCUCAUCUGAAGGCUGUCCUGGAGGGAAGGAGCCCACUUACAAGCUCACUCUUGUGGUUGCUGAGUUGUUGGCUGGCCUCGUGCUCUUGCCCUGUGGGUCUCUUCACAGGGAUGUUUCAUGAUGUGGCAGCUGGUUUUCAUCAGGACAGAUUGGUUCUCAUCAAGGAAUUGGUCAUGAAAAGCUUUCUGCAGUGUAAAGGACCCUCAGCGUUCACAGCGUGCUUCCCGCACUCUUGCCUCUUCAGCAGAGCUCCAAGACCCAUAGGAAAGCUCCUGAGGAAGGAAUCCUU
Molecule: long non-coding RNA, 982 nt
Filed under: Equus caballus (horse)
Lineage: Eukaryota; Metazoa; Chordata; Mammalia; Perissodactyla; Equidae
Description: lncRNA (ENSECAG00000059960.1)
Source: RNAcentral